RNAcentral lists this ribosomal RNA (430 nucleotides) under Pseudomonadota bacterium. Its description in RNAcentral is "Proteobacteria bacterium partial 16S ribosomal RNA". It matches the Rfam family "Bacterial small subunit ribosomal RNA", at positions 355 to 776 of the family's 1533-position model. The record is from RNAcentral. Lineage: Bacteria; Pseudomonadati; Pseudomonadota.
UGGGGAAUAUUGGACAAUGGGGGGAACCCUGAUCCAGCCAUGCCGCGUGUGUGAAGAAGGCCUUAUGGUUGUAAAGCACUUUAAGCGAGGAGGAGGGUACUGGUAUUAAUACUACCAGCUACUGGACGUUACUCGCAGAAUAAGCACCGGCUAACUCUGUGCCAGCAGCCGCGGUAAUACAGAGGGUGCGAGCGUUAAUCGGAUUUACUGGGCGUAAAGCGUGCGUAGGCGGCUAAUUGAGUCGGAUGUGAAAUCCCCGAGCUUAACUUGGGAAUUGCAUUCGAUACUGGUUAGCUAGAGUGUGGGAGAGGAUGGUAGAAUUCCAGGUGUAGCGGUGAAAUGUGUAGAGAUCUGGAGGAAUACCGAUGGCGAAGGCAGCCAUCUGGCCUAACACUGACGCUGAGGUACGAAAGCAUGGGGAGCAAACAGG